This 238-nucleotide unclassified non-coding RNA is filed under the name uncultured fungus. RNAcentral describes it as "sequence contains ITS1". Lineage: Eukaryota; Fungi. The record is from RNAcentral.
ACGUGUAAUAGCUAGCGGUGUCUGCAAGGACGCCGCUGGUCUAAUAACUCUGUUAUACCCUUGUGGUGAAUAUAGGAAACUAGUGUGAUUGUGGUGGUUGGGGUGUGUCAAAGCACCCAGGACGCCACGGUCCUCUUCUUAACUAAAAACAUUAUCAUUACAUUAUCAAUCUAAAGUAACCUUGUGGACAAGAUAUUCAUUUAUUGCACUCACCAAGUAAAACAAUAACAAUCUAAUA